UACGGGGGGGAGCAAGCGUUGUUCGGAUUUACUGGGCGUAAAGGGCGCGUAGGCGGCUCGUGACAAGUCACUUGUGAAAUCUCCGGGCUUAACUCGGAACGGUCAAGUGAUACUGUCGUGCUAGAGUACAGAAGGGGCAACUGGAAUUCUCGGUGUAGCGGUGAAAUGCGUAGAUAUCGAGAGGAACACCUGCGGCGAAGGCGGGUUGCUGGGCUGAUACUGACGCUGAGGCGCGAAAGCUAGGGGAGCGAACGGG
This 256-nucleotide ribosomal RNA is filed under the name uncultured bacterium. RNAcentral describes it as "partial 16S ribosomal RNA". It matches the Rfam family "Bacterial small subunit ribosomal RNA", at positions 524 to 776 of the family's 1533-position model. The record is from RNAcentral.